AGCUUUGCACAGUGGCAGUAGCAUAGCCAAUGAGGUUUAUCAGAGGUAUGAUUAUUGCUAAUUGAAACCUUCCUGAAUCUUAAUUGGACCAACUGUGAAACAAAGAGUUUGAACUUGAUUUUAGAGAGAUUAUUUAGU
Otolemur garnettii (small-eared galago) is the source of this 138-nucleotide small nuclear RNA. Its record names the gene U4. It matches the Rfam family "U4 spliceosomal RNA". Rfam says of the family: U4 small nuclear RNA (U4 snRNA) is a component of the major U2-dependent spliceosome. The structure of U4 snRNA from yeast and human has been reported. NCBI's taxonomy places the organism in Eukaryota, Metazoa, Chordata, Mammalia, Primates, Galagidae. The record is from Ensembl.